ACUCAAAUGAAUUGACGGGGACCCGCACAAGCAGCGGAGCGUGUGGUUUAAUUCGACGCGACGCGCAGAACCUUACCAGGGCUUGACAUGCUCUCGCACCGUCUAGAGAUAGAUGUGCCCGCAAGGGACGGGAGCACAGGUGCUGCAUGGCUGUCGUCAGCUCGUGCCGUGAGGUGUUGGGUUAAGUCCCGCAACGAGCGCAACCCCCAUCGUCGGUUGCACAUGUCCGACGAGACUGCCACGAUCAACGUGGAGGAAGGUGGGGAUGACGUCAAGUCAGCACGGCCCUUACGUCCUGGGCCACACACACGCUACAAUGGCCGCGACAAAGGGGAGCCAACCCGCGAGGGGCAGCCAAUCCCAGCAAAGGCGGUCUCAGUUCGGAUGGCAGGCUGCAACCCGCCUGCCUGAAGUGGGAGUUGCUAGUAACCGUGAGUCAGCACAUCACGGUGAAUACGUUCCCGGGUCUUGUACACACCGCCCGU
This 485-nucleotide ribosomal RNA is filed under the name uncultured bacterium. Its description in RNAcentral is "partial 16S ribosomal RNA". It matches the Rfam family "Bacterial small subunit ribosomal RNA", at positions 899 to 1397 of the family's 1533-position model. The record is from RNAcentral.